AGAAUCAACGCUGGCGGCGUGCCUAACACAUGCAAGUCGAACGAGAAAGUGGAGCAAUCCACGAGUAAAGUGGCGCACGGGUGAGUAACACGUGACUAACCUACCCUUGAGUGGGGAAUAACUGAGGGAAACCUUAGCUAAUACCGCAUAACACCUACGGGUCAAAGGAGCAAUUCGCUUAAGGAGGGGGUCGCGGCAGAUUAGUUAGUUGGCGGGGUAAUGGCCCACCAAGACAGUGAUCUGUAUCCGGCCUGAGAGGGCGCACGGACACACUGGAACUGAAACACGGUCCAGACUCCUACGGGAGGCAGCAGUGGGAAUUUGCGCAAUGGGGGAAACCCUGACGCAGCAACGCCGCGUGGAGGAUGAAGACCCUUGGGUCGUAAACUCCUUUCGAUCGGGACGAUUAUGACGGUACCGGAAGAAGAAGCCCCGGCUAACUUCGCGCCAGCAGCCGC
This 458-nucleotide ribosomal RNA is filed under the name uncultured bacterium. RNAcentral's name for it is "SSU rRNA". It matches the Rfam family "Bacterial small subunit ribosomal RNA", at positions 26 to 518 of the family's 1533-position model. The record is from RNAcentral.